Molecule: long non-coding RNA, 382 nt
Organism: Thunnus maccoyii (southern bluefin tuna)
Lineage: Eukaryota; Metazoa; Chordata; Actinopteri; Scombriformes; Scombridae
Exons: 2
Source: RefSeq, a predicted model, not a curated record
GGUCCAUCCAGUAGAUGCCAGGGUCACAGCUGUGAUGUCCUAUCCAGCUCUCACUACCAGACGUGACCUCCGAUGUUUUCUGGGCAUGACUGAUUACUGCCCUUCCCUCUUCCUGCUGCUGUAGUGAUUGUGUGAAUGAGCACACCUGUGCUGACUUGCUCAUCAGGGCCUAGAGGAUAAAGACCAGGAGGAACAAACAGAUGAUGUUUAUUAGUGUUAUGUUUAGCCUUAUUUUAAUUUAACUGUCAACUUGUUGUUUCAUUUAUGUUUUUAUUUAGUUCCACUUUCGUCUUGUAUAGAAAGUAGUUUUCAGUUGGUGUUUUUGGGUCUUUUGUAAACCUUAUUUAAGUUGUGAAUAAAUUCUUGGUCUGUUCAUACUGUA